Molecule: transfer RNA, 71 nt
Filed under: Candidatus Kinetoplastidibacterium stringomonadis TCC290E
Lineage: Bacteria; Pseudomonadati; Pseudomonadota; Betaproteobacteria
Description: tRNA-Phe (GAA) (tRNA-Phe-GAA-2-1)
Rfam family: transfer-messenger RNA
About the family: Bacterial tmRNA, also known as 10Sa RNA or SsrA, is named for its dual tRNA and mRNA-like properties.
Source: RNAcentral
AAUUGAAUACACAUGUAGAAAUGUCAUUGGAAAAUUGACGGACGGGGGUUCAAAUCCCCCCGGCUCCACCA